Molecule: transfer RNA, 69 nt
Filed under: Comatermes perfectus
Lineage: Eukaryota; Metazoa; Arthropoda; Insecta; Blattodea; Kalotermitidae
Description: tRNA-Gln
Source: RNAcentral
UAUAUUUUGGUGUAUGGUGCACGGGAAUUUUUGAUGUUUUUGGUGUCAGUUUAAUUCUGACAGAUAUAU